AGUGAACGCUGGCGGUAGGCCUAACACAUGCAAGUCGAACGGCAGCACAGUAAGAGCUUGCUCUUACGGGUGGCGAGUGGCGGACGGGUGAGGAAUACAUCGGAAUCUACUUUUUCGUGGGGGAUAACGUAGGGAAACUUACGCUCAUACCGCAUACGACCUACGGGUGACAGCAGGGGCUCUUCGGCCCUUGCGCGAUUGACUGCGCCGAUGUCGGAUUAGCUAGUUGGCGGGGUAAAGGCCCACCAAGGCGACGAUCCGUAGCUGGUCUGAGAGGAUGAUCAGCCACACUGGAACUGAGACACGGUCCAGACUCCUACGGGAGGCAGCAGUGGGGAAUAUUGGACAAUGGGCGCAAGCCUGAUCCAGCCAGACCGCGUGGGUGAAGAAGGCCUUCGGGUUGUAAAGCCCUUUUGUUGGGAAAGAAAAGCAGCAGGUUAAUACCCCGCUGUUCUGACGGUACCCAAAGAAUAAGCACCGGCUAACUUCGUG
This 492-nucleotide ribosomal RNA is filed under the name uncultured bacterium. RNAcentral describes it as "partial 16S ribosomal RNA". It matches the Rfam family "Bacterial small subunit ribosomal RNA", at positions 29 to 507 of the family's 1533-position model. The record is from RNAcentral.